GACGAACGCUGGCGGCGUGCUUAACACAUGCAAGUCGAACGGAAAGGCCCUGCUUUUGUGGGGUGCUCGAGUGGCGAACGGGUGAGUAACACGUGAGUAACCUGCCCUUGACUUUGGGAUAACUUCAGGAAACUGGGGCUAAUACCGGAUAGGAGCUCCUGCUGCAUGGUGGGGGUUGGAAAGUUUCGGCGGUUGGGGAUGGACUCGCGGCUUAUCAGCUUGUUGGUGGGGUAGUGGCUUACCAAGGCUUUGACGGGUAGCCGGCCUGAGAGGGUGACCGGCCACAUUGGGACUGAGAUACGGCCCAGACUCCUACGUGAGGCAGAAGUGGGGAAUAUUGCACAAUGGGCGGAAGCCUGAUGCAGCAACGCCGCGUGCGGGAUGACGGCCUUCGGAUUUUAAACCGCUUUCGCCUGUGACGAAGCGUGAGUGGCGGUAAUGGGUAAAGAAGCACCGGCUAACUACGUG
Molecule: ribosomal RNA, 468 nt
Filed under: uncultured bacterium
Lineage: Bacteria
Description: partial 16S ribosomal RNA
Rfam family: Bacterial small subunit ribosomal RNA
Source: RNAcentral